GCUGCUCCUAGGACCCUUGUUUGUAUACUUGGUUCCUGAGGACAACCUCGGUGAAGUGGGGUUGCAGGUUCUAGUUGCCUUGAUCACUGUACUUGGGGGUUCUGCUGGUUUUGCUGCAUCAAAUUUUGUAUCCAACCUGCAGAAAUUGAAAUGAAUUUCGUGAUACUUUUAAUUUCUCUUUAGAUCUUAUUCUAAGAUAUUAGAAUUUGCUUUCUCCCCUACUAUUUUUUGCCUUCACUGUGCUUCUUACAAGCAUUUUUGCUUUACUUAUAAUAAUCAAUUGUGGGUUUUAUAGUCUUGAGUAUAAGAGAAAGACUGUGUUGGGACUUUACAACGAAUAUAUAACUUGUUAAUGUGUGAAACAUGCAUCAAUCAAGAUAUUGUUAACUAUAUCAAAUGGGGUCGUGCAAUCUUCAACUUCACCUAAUGUGAAUAAACGUUUCUUGUAAUAUAAUGAUAAUGUUUUUAACAGUGCUGUUGCAGUUACCAAUUGUGAAUGAUGCGACUGAUAACUAUAACAUAGAAAGUCUUUUAACAUAGGUUUGUCUUCCUCAUUGCAGUUGCAACCCAAAUAAAGCUCUCUUGCAAUUUCUCUCUUCUAUAGUGAUGACAACUUUUAUUAGUGGCCCUUGCUCAAGCAUCAAACACUUCCAUCUUCGUGCUUCAUUU
This 669-nucleotide long non-coding RNA is filed under the name Phaseolus vulgaris (common bean). RNAcentral's name for it is "long non-coding RNA (PVUL_LNC001271)". The record is from RNAcentral. Lineage: Eukaryota; Viridiplantae; Streptophyta; Magnoliopsida; Fabales; Fabaceae.